AUUGAACGCUGGCGGCAGGCCUAACACAUGCAAGUCGAACGGUAACAGGAAACAGCUUGCUGUUUCGCUGACGAGUGGCGGACGGGUGAGUAAUGUCUGGGAAACUGCCUGAUGGAGGGGGAUAACUACUGGAAACGGUAGCUAAUACCGCAUAACGUCGCAAGACCAAAGAGGGGGACCUUCGGGCCUCUUGCCAUCGGAUGUGCCCAGAUGGGAUUAGCUAGUAGGUGGGGUAACGGCUCACCUAGGCGACGAUCCCUAGCUGGUCUGAGAGGAUGACCAGCCACACUGGAACUGAGACACGGUCCAGACUCCUACGGGAGGCAGCAGUGGGGAAUAUUGCACAAUGGGCGCAAGCCUGAUGCAGCCAUGCCGCGUGUAUGAAGAAGGCCUUCGGGUUGUAAAGUACUUUCAGCGGGGAUGAAGUGAGUAAAGUUAAUACCUUUGCUCAUUGACGUUACCCGCAGAAGAAGCACCGGCUAACUCCGUG
Molecule: ribosomal RNA, 490 nt
Filed under: uncultured bacterium
Lineage: Bacteria
Description: partial 16S ribosomal RNA
Rfam family: Bacterial small subunit ribosomal RNA
Source: RNAcentral